CCUACGGGAGGCAGCAGUGGGGGAUAUUGCACAAUGGGGGAAACCCUGAUGCAGCGACGCCGCGUGUGGGAAGACGGUCCUCUGGAUUGUAAACCACUGUCCCCAGGGACGAAGAUGACGGUACCUGGGGAGGACGCUCCGGCUAACUACGUGCCAGCAGCCUCGGUCAUACGUAGGGAGCGAGCGUUGUCCGGAAUUACUGGGUGUAAAGGGAGCGUAGGCGGGACUGCAAGUUGGGUGUCAAAUCUACCGGCUCAACCGGUAGCCGCACUCAAAACUGCAGUUCUUGAGUGAAGUAGAGGCAGGCGGAAUUCCUAGUGUAGCGGUGAAAUGCGUAGAUAUUAGGAGGAACACCAGUGGCGAAGGCGGCCUGCUGGGCUGUGACUGACGCUGAGGCUCGAAAGUGUGGGGAGCAAACAGGAUUAGAUACCCUAGUAGUC
This 440-nucleotide ribosomal RNA is filed under the name uncultured bacterium. RNAcentral's name for it is "partial 16S ribosomal RNA". It matches the Rfam family "Bacterial small subunit ribosomal RNA", at positions 338 to 795 of the family's 1533-position model. The record is from RNAcentral.